AAACCCUAAAAUCUAGGGACUUUGUCCCGUCGAGCCGCCGCCACCUACCGUAUCUUCCUCGGGAUCCAGAUCCGUUUUCCUCUUCGUGUUCAUCACCACACCAACCCGAGCCAGCCACCUCUCCUUCCACUCUGCCUCUCCAUCGGGAUCCACCUACAACACCCGAGCUCCUCUCAUGCUCCUCCCAUGGCGCCCUCGUUCCCGAGCGGAUCGAGCCAGCCGUCCCCGCCGGCGCUGAGCAGCAUCAGCUCGCGCCAGCUCCGGCGAGCCCUGCCGGAACCGCCGUCGCUCGAAGCUUCCUCGACCCUGUCGCCGACCAGAUCCGCGGCUGCCCUGCGCCGCCUGGCCUUCCCCGCCUGGACCUCGUCAGCCAGCAGCCCGCCAGGCCAGGCCAGUCUGCUCCGUCCGGCUACCUCCUGUCGUCCCCGUCGCCAUUGGACUGCGCCGCCGCACCGGAUCUCCUUCCUCGCCGGCCUUCCCUGCAGCCGCUGCCGCGCCGUUGACCCCGCCCUCGCCGCGCCCCUGUUUCCCCUGCUUCGAACGGCAUCAACGACGACGAAGCCGUCCUCCUGCGUUGACCGCGCCCUGCCUCGCCUCGUUGUGCCUGCGUGGCCGCAGCCAGCGCCAGGCCCAGCCAAAGCCGGCCCCUCUUGGGCCUCCUCCACCAAACGGGCUAAGCCCAGGCUUCGGUUUCGUUCCGGAGUUGUGAGGAUUCGUUCGACUCCGUCCGUUUGUCUUCUUCAUGGACUCGUUCUUCUUCCUUGCGGGAUUUCAGGCA
Molecule: long non-coding RNA, 778 nt
Organism: Triticum aestivum (bread wheat)
Lineage: Eukaryota; Viridiplantae; Streptophyta; Magnoliopsida; Poales; Poaceae
Exons: 3
Source: RefSeq, a predicted model, not a curated record